GGGAUCCCGUGUCCGACACCUGGCACCAUCUCGCCGGUCUAAUAAUGGGGCAGCUGUGGGGUCUCACCAUGGUGACGCUGGGGCUCCAUUCCAUGCCGUGGGGGCAGCUUGUGGGGCAGCAGCAGGAAGGAGCUGAGGUAUGAGUUGGCGAGUACGGGCACCGGGGGGAGGCCGGAGGAGAAGAAAUCUGAACCUGGGACGGGAACUGCAUGAAUGGGGGGGGGAAGUAUGAAUGAAAUGGGUCGGCUAGAGUUCAUUGGACUGGGGAGGAACAAUGGGGUGGUAUGGGGGGAUAUGGGGUGGUUAUGGGGCAGCUAUGGGGUGGUUAUGGGAUUGUUAUGGGGUCACUAUGGGGCAGUUAUGGGGCAGUUAUGGGGCAGUUAUAGGGCAGUUAUGGGGCAGUUAUGGGGUUGAUCACCUGGUAAUGGUGCCUCAGUGUUGAGUUGUGGGUCUGGCCGGGGGUGAAGCUGAGAUAUGGGGUGGAGUCCUCCAGCCUAGGGGGGGAGAAAUGGGGGUCCUUAUAGGGUCCCCAUGGGGGUCCCCUAUAGGGUCACUGUGGGUCCCUAUGGGGUCGUUAUGGGUCUCUAUGGGGUCACUAUGGGUCUCUAUGUGUCCCUAUGGGGUCCCUAUGGGUCCCUAUGGGUCCCUGUGUGUCCCUCUGGGGUCCCUAUGGGUCCCUAUGGGUCCCUAUGGGUCCCUAUGUGUUUCUAUGUGUCCCUAUGGGUCCCUAUGUGUCCCUAUGGGUCCCUAUGUGUCUCUAUAGGUCCCUAAAUGUCCCCAUGGGUCCCUAUGUGUCCCUAUGGGGUCACUAUGUCUCUCUUUGUCUCUCUAUGUGUCCCUAUGGGUCCCUAUGAGUCUCUAUGGAGUCUCUAUGGGGUCACUAUGGGUCUCUAUGGGUCCCUAUGUGUCCCUAUGUGUCCCUAUAUGUUCCUAUGGGGUCACUAUGUAUCUCUAUGUGUCCCUAUGUCUCUCUAUGGGGUCUCUAUGGGUCUCUAUGGGUCUCUACGGGGUCUCUAUGGGUCUCUAUGGGGUCUCUAUGGGUCUCUAUGGGGUCUCUAUGGGCCUCUAUGGGUCUCUAUGGGUCUCUAUGGGUCUCUAUGGGUCCCUAUGGGGUCCCUAUGAGUCUCUAUGGAGUCUCUAUGGGGUCACUAUGGGUCUCUGUGGGUCCCUAUGUGUCCCUAUGUGUCCCUAUGGGGUCCCUAUGUGUCCCUAUAUGUCCCUAUAGGGUCUCUAUGUAUCUCUAUGGGUCCCUAUGUGUCCCUAUGUGUCCCUAUGGGGUCCCUAUGUGUUCCUAUGGGGUCUCUAUGUAUCCCUAUGUAUCUGUAUAUGUCCCUAUGUGUCCGUAUGUAUCUCUAUGGGGUCUCUAUGGGGUCUGUAUGGGGUCCCUAUAUUUCCCUAUGUCCCCCUAUGGGGUCCCUAUGGGGUCACUAUGUGUCUCUAUAUGUCCUUAUGUGUCCCUAUGUUUCCCUAUGUAUCUCUAUGUGUAAUGUGUCCCUAUGUGUCCCUACUCUAUGUCCCCCUAUGCCCCCCUAUGGGGUCUCUAUGGGGUCCCUAUAGAUCCCUAUGUCCCCCCAUGUCCCCCUAUGUCCCUCUAUGUCUGUGCUCACCACGUGACCGCGGCUCCCACCCGGUACCGCACGGGGGCGCUCCAGAGCAGCGAGUUGUCGGACACCGUGAGACGGGAUUCAGUGGGGCUGGAACGGGGAGAAACGGGGGUUACGGCCCCAUAGGGACACAUAGGGACACAUAGAGACACAUAGAGACACAUAGGGACCCAUAGAGACACAUAGGGACACAUAGGGACCCAUAGAGACACAUAGAGACCCAUAGAGACACAUAGGGACCCAUAGGGACACAUAGGGACCCAUAGAGACCCAUAGAGACACAUAGAGACCCAUAGGGACACAUAGGGACCCAUAGGGACACAUAGGGACACAUAGAGACACAUAGAGACACAUAGGGACACAUAGGGACACAUAGGGACCCCAUAACCACCCCAUAUCCCCCAUAACCUCCCAUAUGACCCCAUAUCCCCCCAUAACCACCCCACA
Molecule: long non-coding RNA, 2051 nt
Filed under: Coturnix japonica (Japanese quail)
Lineage: Eukaryota; Metazoa; Chordata; Aves; Galliformes; Phasianidae
Description: lncRNA (ENSCJPG00005005937.1)
Source: RNAcentral